Molecule: long non-coding RNA, 577 nt
Organism: Ruditapes philippinarum (Manila clam)
Lineage: Eukaryota; Metazoa; Mollusca; Bivalvia; Venerida; Veneridae
Exons: 4
Source: RefSeq, a predicted model, not a curated record
CCUGUAUUAAUUGAUUUUUAAUUACGCUGAUUUGUACAUAAAUACUAAAUACCCCUUUCUGGAGCAGCAUUUUGCUAAAACCCAACUUGCUCCGUUAUAUCGAAAGACAACUGAUCAGACGAUCACCAUGAAAACAUCACAGUCAGUCAUUAUUGCUUUGUGCCUUCUUGUCGUCUGCGCCAGUGCUGUCCCAAUGUACCGCCACAAGAAAGGUUUCGGGCCACCAAUUAUGCCGGUGCCAUUCCAUCCAUAUCCAAUGUAUGGACCACAGCGAAGAAACGGAUUCAAUAACGGACUUACACUUCUCACCUCGGCAGCUCUUCUUGGCUCCGGAAAUCCAUUCGGACAGGCCCUUGGCGGUGUAGGACUUUUCAGUCUGCUUUAAGAAAACCAUCAACAACUGCAUAAACCCAUGAUUCGGAGGGGACGUUUCUGCCAUAGCCUCGAGAAACCUGUGCAGAUUUAAUGUUUAUUUAUUUAUUUAUUUAUUUAUUUAUUCGUUAAUUUAUUUAUUUACUGUACAUCUACUUAUUUUUGAAUGCCAUGCUUGUUUAAUAAAUUAUUUCAUUUCAAAAUA